AUCUUUCGACAUUAAGUGUUUCAAGAGAGCUCAAAUUGAAAAUGCUCUCCGAAAGACUCCUUAGGCUUUUGCAACUAGACAAAUCUAGGUGUUGAAGAGCCUUUAGACGUCCAAUUGAGGAUGUAAGCUCUUCUAUACUUGUUUCCCUCAAAUCAAGCCUUUUUAGAUUUUCCAUAUCAUCUUUGAUUUCUGGAAAGCGCUUUAAAUUUGAACACCCCCGCACAAUGAGAGUUUCAAGAGAGCUCAAAUUGCAAAUGCUCUCCGAAAGACUCCUUAGGCUUUUGCAACCAGACAAAUCUAGGUGUUGAAGAGCCUUUAGACGUCCAAUUGAGGAUGUAAGCUCUUCUAUACCUGUUUCCCUCAAAUCAAGCAUUUUUAGAUUUUCCAUAUCAUCUUUGAUUUGUGGAAAGCGCUUUAAAUUUGAACACCCCCGCACAAUGAGAGUUUCAAGAGAGCUCAAAUUGCAAAUGCUCUCCGAAAGACUCCUUAGGCUUUUGCAACCAGACAAAUCUAGGCGUUGAAGAGCCUUUAGACGUCCAAUUGAGGAUGUAAGCUCUUCUAUACCUGUUUCCCUCAAAUCAAGCAUUUUUAGAUUUUCCAUAUCAUCUUUGAUUUCUGGAAAGCGCUUUAAAUUUGAACACCCCCGCACAAUGAGAGUUUCAAGAGAGCUCAAAUUGAAAAUGCUCUCCGAAAGACUCCUUAGGUUUUUGCAACUAGACAAAUCUAGGUGUUGAAGAGCCUUUUGACGUCCAAUUAAGGAUGGAAGCUCUUCUAUACUUGUUUCCCUAAAAUCAAGCCUUUUUAGAUUUUCCAUAUCAUCUUUGAUUUCUGGAAAGUGCUUUAAAUUUGAACACCCCUGCACAAUGAGAGUUUCAAGAAAGCUCAAAUUGCAAAUGCUCUCCGAAAGACUCCUUAGGCUUUUGCAACCAGACAAAUCUAGGUGUUGAAGAGCCUUUAGACGUCCAACUGAGAAUGGAAGCUCUUCUAUAUCUGUUUCCCUCAAAUCAAGCCUUUUUAGAUUUUCCAUAUCAUCUUUGAUUUCUGGAAAGCCCUUUAAAUUUGAACACCCCUGCACAAUGAGAGUUUCAAGAGAGCUCAAAUUGUCAAUGCUCUCUGAAAGACUCCUUAGGCUUUUGCAACCAGACAAAUCUAGGUGUUGAAGAGCCUUUAGACGUCCAACUGAGAAUGGAAGCUCUUCUAUAUCUAUUUCCCCCAAAUCAAGCCUUUUUAGAUUUUCCAUAUCAUCUUUGAUUUCUGGAAAGCGCUUUAAAUUUGAACACUCCCGCACAAUGAGAGUUUCAAGAGAGCUCAAAUUGAAAAUGUUCUCCGAAAGACUCCUUAG
This 1342-nucleotide long non-coding RNA is filed under the name Vitis vinifera (wine grape). RNAcentral's name for it is "long non-coding RNA (VVIN_LNC006338)". Lineage: Eukaryota; Viridiplantae; Streptophyta; Magnoliopsida; Vitales; Vitaceae. The record is from RNAcentral.